CUAGCUCAGUCCUUUCAGUGGCUGCUUCCACAAAGCUGUCAGCCUCAGGUUGCUGUAGUUCGAUCCCCACAACACUCUAGCAUGUCAAAAGUGCCCUCAAGGCAUUUGAGGA
This is a long non-coding RNA of Octodon degus (degu), 112 nucleotides long. RefSeq lists it as uncharacterized. Lineage: Eukaryota; Metazoa; Chordata; Mammalia; Rodentia; Octodontidae. The transcript has 2 exons. The record is from RefSeq and is a predicted model, not a curated record.